Non-coding RNA from Podarcis lilfordi (Lilford's wall lizard), 75 nucleotides. The record is from the annotation of a GenBank genome assembly. NCBI's taxonomy places the organism in Eukaryota, Metazoa, Chordata, Lepidosauria, Squamata, Lacertidae.
GGAAGGAGUACAGCUCAGUGGUAGUGCAUCUGCCUUGUAUGUUGAAAGUCCCAGGUUCAAUCCCUGGCAUUUCCA